This 664-nucleotide long non-coding RNA is filed under the name Taeniopygia guttata (zebra finch). RNAcentral describes it as "lncRNA (ENSTGUG00000028037.1)". Lineage: Eukaryota; Metazoa; Chordata; Aves; Passeriformes; Estrildidae. The record is from RNAcentral.
CACCAAGAGAAGUUUAAAUUUAUAUUAAUGAAUGCCUGUAUGAUGAUGGCAAAGUCCAAUGCAUAUUUCAGGAAAGAAUGCUGAAGGACAGCUAUGCAGAGAAAGCUUUCCUGGAAUCACUGCUGAAGGAGCCAUUGUAGCUCUGACUUUAUUUUUUUCUGGAGAGCAGAUUACAAAGCACCUUACAUUCAAAAGCUCAAUGCUGAAGCUAUUAGAAACAUCCACCAGAGUGCCAGCUGCCCCUUGGAAGAGAAGUGAUCCAAGGUUUUUUCAGCUUAAGCACCAGAUUCAAGACUUUGAUUUCAAAUGGCCAUGGAAAACCAAAGCUGUACCUUACAAUUCAGUGUCAGAGAAACCAGUGUCCUUUACUCCCAUCACAAUCUCGCACAGAGAAGCAUUGCAGUUGCCACCAAACCAACAGGAAACUGAAGGAAUAGGAGGCCCCCUACACUUGCUGAGACACACACAGAAUUCCAGAUAUCAGCAAGAAGGAAAGAUUCAACAUCUGCUUGAAGAGACUUUUAUCUGAGUCAGCAAUCUCAAGAUCAUAACACCACCUGAAACCAAUGGCAUUCUCAAGAAAAUGGGAUAUUGGUAAAGGAUGGAGACUAUUACUAUACUGAAAAAUCUAAGUUCGAUUGAAUCAGAGAUACAAGAAAACAAG